GUACUGUUCCCCAUGUUCCAGGAGCUUGCACCACAAGACCCACAUGACAAGUGUGGUCACCACUACGCGUUUUGCCUUGACCUGAAGAACCAACGAUUUGAGGUGCUAGAUUCAAUGCGUUCAGAAGCUGAUGCAGACCUUACUACGCAUGCUGAAUUCAUCAUCAACAGCCUCAAAGAGACAUGGAACCGUCACUACGAAAACUCAAGGGUCCAGAUCGGUCAUUUCCCAAUCGAGUAUGUCGCGACUACGAAGCAAGGAAACCGGCAUGACUAUGGCUUUCACACAUUGGAAUACCUUGCAAAGUGGGAAGGUCGACGGGUCCCUGUCGUCACAGCUGCAAUGGUCGUCGAGCUCCGCAAGAUAUACACAUGGAACUGGUUGAUGAAUGAAGAUUUCAACACGCGGGCCAACGCACGAGAGUUCAUAGAGGAAGCUGUCAAG
RNAcentral lists this ribosomal RNA (444 nucleotides) under Triticum aestivum (bread wheat). RNAcentral's name for it is "partial small subunit ribosomal RNA". Lineage: Eukaryota; Viridiplantae; Streptophyta; Magnoliopsida; Poales; Poaceae. The record is from RNAcentral.